This 253-nucleotide ribosomal RNA is filed under the name uncultured bacterium. RNAcentral's name for it is "partial 16S ribosomal RNA". It matches the Rfam family "Bacterial small subunit ribosomal RNA", at positions 524 to 776 of the family's 1533-position model. The record is from RNAcentral.
UACAGAGGUGGCAAGCGUUGUUCGGAAUUACUGGGCGUAAAGGGCGCGUAGGCGGCCUUCUAAGUCGGACGUGGAAGCCCCAGGCUUAACCUGGGAACUGCGUCCGAUACUGGAAGGCUUGGAUUCGGGAGAGGGAUGUGGAAUUCCAGGUGUAGCGGUGAAAUGCGUAGAUAUCUGGAGGAACACCGGUGGCGAAGGCGGCAUCCUGGACCGACACUGACACUGAGGAGCGAAAGCCAGGGGAGCAAGCGGG